CCCUAAAGCAGCCAAGAGGGAUUGAGUACUUGUGCAUCCAGCGCAGAAGCUUAAAAACAUUGUAUCAAAUAAAUUUGGGCUCCACCUGAGAAAUGGAAAUGCUGAAAACAAAUAGAGGAAAUAGCUACUUUGUGCGGCAUGUUCCCUUACAGAGAAGGCUAAAGAGUGGAUAAGAGGAAAUCUAGUUAAUCCAGGCCAACACAGCAUUUAAGGACACCUUGAUAACGAAAGAGAUGGAGCACAGAGCAGGAUAAAAAGAAUCAAAAUUGUCUACAAAUGAGGUA
Molecule: long non-coding RNA, 284 nt
Filed under: Cyanistes caeruleus (blue tit)
Lineage: Eukaryota; Metazoa; Chordata; Aves; Passeriformes; Paridae
Description: lncRNA (ENSCCEG00000011236.1)
Source: RNAcentral